This 61-nucleotide transfer RNA is filed under the name Ictidomys tridecemlineatus (thirteen-lined ground squirrel). RNAcentral describes it as "Spermophilus tridecemlineatus (thirteen-lined ground squirrel) tRNA". It matches the Rfam family "tRNA", at positions 6 to 65 of the family's 71-position model. Rfam says of the family: Transfer RNA (tRNA) molecules are approximately 80 nucleotides in length. Their secondary structure includes four short double-helical elements and three loops (D, anti-codon, and T loops). Lineage: Eukaryota; Metazoa; Chordata; Mammalia; Rodentia; Sciuridae. The record is from Rfam by way of RNAcentral.
UGUAGCUCAGUGGUAGAGUCCUUGCCUGGCAUGCAGAAGGCCCUGGGUUGGAUCCCCAGCA